GGGCCGCAGAGUCAUGGUGACCGGCCGGGCCUCCAAAACCCGGAGAGAGGGUUCGAUUCCUUCGCGGCCCG
RNAcentral lists this transfer RNA (71 nucleotides) under Myxococcales bacterium. RNAcentral's name for it is "tRNA-OTHER". The record is from RNAcentral. Lineage: Bacteria; Pseudomonadati; Myxococcota; Myxococcia; Myxococcales.